Molecule: ribosomal RNA, 465 nt
Filed under: uncultured bacterium
Lineage: Bacteria
Description: bacterial SSU rRNA
Rfam family: Bacterial small subunit ribosomal RNA
Source: RNAcentral
CCUACGGGUGGCAGCAGUGGGGAAUAUUGCACAAUGGGCGCAAGCCUGAUGCAGCCAUGCCGCGUGUAUGAAGAAGGCCUUCGGGUUGUAAAGUACUUUCAGCGGGGAGGAAGGCGAUGAGGUUAAUAACCUUGUCGAUUGACGUUACCCGCAGAAGAAGCACCGGCUAACUCCGUGCCAGCAGCCGCGGUAAUACGGAGGGUGCAAGCGUUAAUCGGAAUUACUGGGCGUAAAGCGCACGCAAGCGGUCUGUCAAGUCGGAUGUGAAAUCCCCGGGCUCAACCUGGGAACUGCAUUCGAAACUGGCAGGCUGGAGUCUUGUAGAGGGGGGUAGAGUUCCAGGUGUAGCGGUGAAAUGCGUAGAGAUCUGGAGGAAUACCGGUGGCGAAGGCGGCCCCCUGGGCAAAGACUGACGCUCAGGUGCGAAAGCGUGGGGAGCAAACAGGAUUAGAUACCCGAGUAGUC